Molecule: microRNA precursor, 82 nt
Filed under: Saimiri boliviensis boliviensis (Bolivian squirrel monkey)
Lineage: Eukaryota; Metazoa; Chordata; Mammalia; Primates; Cebidae
Description: miRNA (ENSSBOG00000006579.1)
Source: RNAcentral
GUAUUAGGUUGGUGCAAAAGUGAUUGUGGUUUUUGCCAUAACUUUUAUGACAAAAACCGCAAUUACUUCAGCACCAACCUAA